Molecule: ribosomal RNA, 587 nt
Filed under: uncultured bacterium
Lineage: Bacteria
Description: bacterial SSU rRNA
Rfam family: Bacterial small subunit ribosomal RNA
Source: RNAcentral
CCUACGGGAGGCAGCAGUGGGGAAUAUUGGACAAUGGGGGGAACCCUGAUCCAGCCAUGCCGCGUGUGUGAAGAAGGCCCUCGGGUUGUAAAGCACUUUCAGCGAGGAAGAACGCCUAGCGGUUAAUACCCGCUAGGAAAGACAUCACUCGCAGAAGAAGCACCGGCUAACUCCGUGCCAACAGCCGUGGUAAUACGGAGGGUGCAAGCGUUAAUCGGAAUUACUGGGCGUAAAGCGCGCGUAGGUGGCUUGAUAAGCCGGUUGUGAAAGCCCCGGGCUCAACCUGGGAACGGCAUCCGGAACUGUCAAGCUAGAGUGCAGGAGAGGAAGGUAGAAUUCCCGGUGUAGCGGUGAAAUGCGUAGAGAUCGGGAGGAAUACCAGUGGCGAAGGCGGCCUUCUGGACUGACACUGACACUGAGGUGCGAAAGCGUGGGUAGCAAACAGGAUUAGAUACCCUGGUAGUCCACGCCGUAAACGAUGUCGACCAGCCGUUGGGUGCCUAGCGCACUUUGUGGCGAAGUUAACGCGAUAAGUCGACCGCCUGGGGAGUACGGCCGCAAGGUUAAAACUCAAAUGAAUUGACGGA